UUAAGCGAGCAAAGCAGGAAGGAGAAUUGGAUGUACUUGUCCAUCUAGGGACAAAUGACUUGGCUUGCAAUGAGGUUUCAGAGGUAAAGGAAGUUUUUAGCAUUUUUUCCAAUGAUUUACAGCAGGUUGCUUCCACAUUGUCAUUCUCUGAAGUUCUGCCUGUGCAUAACACUCAGAAUGACAGGCGGAUGCGUAUUAGGGACUUUAACUUGUGGCUUGGUGAAUGGUGU
Molecule: non-coding RNA, 230 nt
Organism: Pelobates cultripes (western spadefoot toad)
Lineage: Eukaryota; Metazoa; Chordata; Amphibia; Anura; Pelobatidae
Source: the annotation of a GenBank genome assembly